This 425-nucleotide ribosomal RNA is filed under the name uncultured bacterium. RNAcentral's name for it is "partial 16S ribosomal RNA". It matches the Rfam family "Bacterial small subunit ribosomal RNA", at positions 354 to 796 of the family's 1533-position model. The record is from RNAcentral.
GUGGGGAAUCUUGCACAAUGGGCGAAAGCCUGAUGCAGCCAUGCCGCGUGAAUGAUGAAGGCCUUAGGGUUGUAAAAUUCUUUCGUCAGGGAUGAUAAUGACCGUACCUGAAGAAGAAGCCCCGGCUAACUUCGUGCCAGCAGCCGCGGUAAUACGAAGGGGGCUAGCGUUGUUCGGAAUUACUGGGCGUAAAGCGCACGUAGGCGGACUUUUAAGUCAGGUGUGAAAUCCCGGGGCUCAACCUCGGAACUGCAUUUGAAACUGGAAGUCUUGAGAUCAGGAGAGGUUAGCGGAAUACCGAGUGUAGAGGUGAAAUUCGUAGAUAUUCGGUGGAACACCAGUGGCGAAGGCGGCUAACUGGACUGAUACUGACGCUGAGGUGCGAAAGUGUGGGGAGCAAACAGGAUUAGAUACCCGAGUAGUCC